GGUACACGCUGUGACUAGCAUAUCAAUAAGCGGAGGAAAAGAAACUAACAAGGAUUCCCCUAGUAACGGCGAGUGAAGCGGGAAGAGCUCAAAUUUGAAAUCUUAAAGGGUUUCCCUUUACGAAUUGUAGUUUAAAGAAGUGUUUUCUGUUGAGGUUUUGGUAAAAGUUCUUUGGAAUAGGACAUCAUAGAGGGUGAGAAUCCCGUAUUUGACCUUUACUUUCAACUUUGUGAUACACUUUCAAAGAGUCGGAUUGUUUGGGAAUGCAGUCCAAAAUGGGUGGUAAAUUUCAUCUAAAGCUAAAUAUUGGCGAGAGACCGAUAGCGAACAAGUACCGUGAGGGAAAGAUGAAAAGAACUUUGAAAAGAGAGUUAAACAGUACGUGAAAUUGUCAAAAGGGAAGCGUUUGACACCAGUGUUGUUUUUCUGAAAAUCAAUUAAAGAACUGUUUAUGCUAAGUUGUUUAGACUUUAUCAGCUAACUGUUUAGUUUUGAGCUUUUCUUUAAUGCACUUUUCAGUUAACAAGUCAACAUCAAUUUCUUUUGCUGUAAAAAAGCUUGAGGAAGGUGGCUUGAGAUUCGUCUUAAGUGUUUAUAGCCUCUUGCCUAUGCAGUCGGAGAGAUUGAGGUCUGCAGCGUAGAUCCUUCGGGGCUAAAUGCAUUUGUGCUAAGUUAUAGCAUUUCAUAGACAACUUGUUGACUAUGAUUUGUCUUGUAGCUUACUCGCUUAUGUUAUUUUACCUACGCUUAGGAUGUUGACAGCAGUAUAGACUGU
This 775-nucleotide ribosomal RNA is filed under the name uncultured Neocallimastigales. Its description in RNAcentral is "partial large subunit ribosomal RNA". It matches the Rfam family "Eukaryotic large subunit ribosomal RNA", at positions 22 to 637 of the family's 3401-position model. Lineage: Eukaryota; Fungi; Neocallimastigomycota; Neocallimastigomycetes; Neocallimastigales. The record is from RNAcentral.